This 301-nucleotide ribosomal RNA is filed under the name uncultured bacterium. RNAcentral's name for it is "partial 16S ribosomal RNA". It matches the Rfam family "Bacterial small subunit ribosomal RNA", at positions 509 to 807 of the family's 1533-position model. The record is from RNAcentral.
CAGUAGCCACGGGAAUACGAGGGGGGCAAGCGUUGUUCGGAAUUAUUGGGCGUAAAGGGUGCGUAGGCGGUUUGAUAAGUCAUCUGUGAAAUCUCUGGGCUCAACCCAGAGUCUGCAGGCGAAACUGUCGGGCUUGAGAAUGGGAGAGGUGAGUGGAAUUUCCGGUGUAGCGGUGAAAUGCGUAGAUAUCGGAAGGAACACCUGUGGCGAAAGCGGCUCACUGGACCAUUUCUGACGCUGAGGCGCGAAAGCUAGGGGAGCAAACAGGAUUAGAUACCCCCGUAGUCCCUGUCUCUUAUAC